RNAcentral lists this small RNA (527 nucleotides) under Pongo abelii (Sumatran orangutan). RNAcentral describes it as "retained intron". The record is from RNAcentral. Lineage: Eukaryota; Metazoa; Chordata; Mammalia; Primates; Hominidae.
GUGCCUGGAGGGCGAUUUCUGCUUCCCUCACGGCGAGUGCCUCAACACUGACGGCUCCUUUGCCUGUACUUGUGCCCCCGGCUACCGACCCGGACCCCGCGGAGCCUCUUGCCUCGACGUUGACGAGUGCAGCGAGGAGGACCUUUGCCAGAGCGGCAUCUGUACCAACACCGACGGCUCCUUCGAGUGCGUCUGUCCUCCGGGACACCGCGCCGGCCCGGACCUCGCCUCCUGCCUCGACGUGGACGAAUGUCGCGAGCGAGGCCCAGCCCUGUGCGGGUCGCAGCGCUGUGAGAACUCUCCCGGGUCCUACCGCUGUGUGCGGGACUGCGAUCCUGGGUACCACGCGGGCCCCGAGGGCACUUGUGACGAUGUGGACGAAUGCCGGAACCGGUCCUUCUGCGGUGCCCAUGCCGUGUGCCAGAACCUGCCCGGCUCCUUCCAGUGCCUCUGUGACCAGGGUUACGAGGGGGCACGGGAUGGGCGUCACUGCGUGGAUGUGAAUGAGUGUGAAACACUACAGGGUG